This 501-nucleotide ribosomal RNA is filed under the name uncultured bacterium. RNAcentral describes it as "partial 16S ribosomal RNA". It matches the Rfam family "Bacterial small subunit ribosomal RNA", at positions 30 to 523 of the family's 1533-position model. The record is from RNAcentral.
AUUGAACGCUGGCGGCAGGCUUAACACAUGCAAGUCGAGCGGGGUGAUGGUGCUUGCACUAUCACUUAGCGGCGGACGGGUGAGUAAUGCUUAGGAAUCUGCCUAUUAGUGGGGGACAACAUCUCGAAAGGGAUGCUAAUACCGCAUACGUCCUACGGGAGAAAGCAGGGGAUCUUCGGACCUUGCGCUAAUAGAUGAGCCUAGGUCGGAUUAGCUAGUUGGUGGGGUAAAGGCCUACCAAGGCGACGAUCUGUAGCGGGUCUGAGAGGAUGAUCCGCCACAAUGGGACUGAGCCACGGCCCAGACUCCUACGGGAGGCAGCAGUGGGGAAUAUUGGACAGUGGGGGGAACCCUGAUCCAGCCAUGCCGCGUGUGUGAAGAAGGCCUUAUGGUUGUAAAGCACUUUAAGCGAGGAGGAGGCUACUCUAGUUAAUACCUAGGGAUAGUGGACGUUACUCGCAGAAUAAGCACCGGCUAACUCUGUGCCAGCAGCCGCCGCAG